UGUGUGUGUGUGUGUGUGUAUGUAUGUAUGUAUCUAUCUGACACAUAGAUACACACACACACACACACACACACA
This is a non-coding RNA of Pelobates cultripes (western spadefoot toad), 75 nucleotides long. Lineage: Eukaryota; Metazoa; Chordata; Amphibia; Anura; Pelobatidae. The record is from the annotation of a GenBank genome assembly.